UGCGUCUUUUCUGGAUUUACCUUGAUCAGUAACGCUCAAAACCAAACAUUUGCAAACGUUUGAUAACCUACGCUACGAAUUUGUGUUAUAUAAUUGUUUAUCAAUUUAGAUUAUGGUCCAUCAUGGGUGAAGUCUAAAUAUGAAUAGAGUUGGUCAUGAUUCGUUUUACUAUGUAUAAUAGAGAUUGUCCAAAUUACAUUUACAAGUCUGUAUCUCCACGAUGACACAUAGCCUAUACUAUCGUAUAUUCAGUUAAUACAGUAGACAUCAUACAUGUACGCUAGCAUAUAUUUUAUUUUUAUUUCAAACACAUUAGUAUACAGUCAUUUCAC
Molecule: long non-coding RNA, 332 nt
Filed under: Mytilus galloprovincialis (Mediterranean mussel)
Lineage: Eukaryota; Metazoa; Mollusca; Bivalvia; Mytilida; Mytilidae
Source: RNAcentral